RNAcentral lists this ribosomal RNA (161 nucleotides) under Leotiaceae sp. Its description in RNAcentral is "partial large subunit ribosomal RNA". It matches the Rfam family "Eukaryotic large subunit ribosomal RNA", at positions 99 to 261 of the family's 3401-position model. The record is from RNAcentral. Lineage: Eukaryota; Fungi; Ascomycota; Leotiomycetes; Leotiales; Leotiaceae.
CGGCAACAGCUCAAAUUUGAAAGCUGGCCUUCUGGCCCGCGUUGUAAUUUGUAGAGGAUGCUUCGGAUGCGGUCCGGCCUAAGUGCCUUGGAACAGGACGUCAUAGAGGGUGAGAACCCCGUAUGCGGCCGGGUGCCAAUUCCAUGUGAAGCUCCUUCGAC